RNAcentral lists this transfer RNA (73 nucleotides) under Salganea incerta. RNAcentral's name for it is "tRNA-Lys". Lineage: Eukaryota; Metazoa; Arthropoda; Insecta; Blattodea; Blaberidae. The record is from RNAcentral.
CAUCAGAUGACUGAAAGCAAGUAAUGGUCUCUUAAACCAAAAAAUAGUAAAUAUUAGCACUUACUUCUGAUGA